ACGACCUUACUUGAACAGGAUCUGUUCUAUAGGCUCGUACCACUGUGUUCUUGAGCUCUAAGGAGACAGGAAAUUAAGUUUGGUGGAUGAAUUGUGGCCGUGAGACUAGAGCGUGAUUAAUAGGCAGCAUUGCCCGCUGGGUGAUGGUUGAUAGUAAAGGAUCGUUCUCAGCCUAGUUUGCCGAGCUUGAGAUGGUCUCGUGGCUGUGACAGACU
This is a small nucleolar RNA of Lycium ferocissimum, 215 nucleotides long. RefSeq annotates it as small nucleolar RNA U3. Lineage: Eukaryota; Viridiplantae; Streptophyta; Magnoliopsida; Solanales; Solanaceae. The record is from RefSeq and is a predicted model, not a curated record. The transcript has a single exon.